CAGUAGCCACGGGAAUACGGAGGGUGCAAGCGUUAAUCGGAAUUACUGGGCGUAAAGCGCACGCAGGCGGUCUGACAAGUCAGAUGUGAAAUCCCCGGGCUUAACCUGGGAACUGCAUUUGAAACUGUCAGGCUGGAGUCUUGUAGAGGGGGGUGGAAUUCCAGGUGUAGCGGUGAAAUGCGUAGAGAUCUGGAGGAAUACCGGUGGCGAAGGCGGCCCCCUGGACAAAGACUGACGCUCAGGUGCGAAAGCGUGGGGAGCAAACAGGAUUAGAUACCCCCGUAGUCCCUGUAUCUUAUAC
RNAcentral lists this ribosomal RNA (301 nucleotides) under uncultured bacterium. RNAcentral describes it as "partial 16S ribosomal RNA". It matches the Rfam family "Bacterial small subunit ribosomal RNA", at positions 509 to 807 of the family's 1533-position model. The record is from RNAcentral.